CUUGGAACCCUGGACCACCAUGUGACUGAACACUAACUUGCCUGCUGGAGAACAAGAAGCCACGCAGAGGAUAACAGUGGUGCCACUGAGCCUCAACACUUUGGCUGUUUUGCUAGGAAGUGGGUCCAUGAACUCCUCACUCUGCCAACUUGGAGGUGGAACUUCUCCACUGGAAAUUUCCCCAGCCAGAGAUGCCAUUUCUGCUUGAAGCCCUGAACCAAACUGCAUUAUUUAUUAACUCUUCCAAAGGAGCUCUCUUCAGACAUUGCUGUAGGAGCUAUCGAGCUUGCCACCUGCCUGCUGCUUUGACUGCUAAGGAGCAAUGGACCUAGCCAUGGUGUUUGGAGCUCUGGGAAGUAUGAAAAAACAAGAUGUUCUUCAGAAGGAACAGUGAAAACCAGGAGGCUUAGUGACUUGUUCAGGGUGUAAAUAAAACAAAGGGGUCUCUCCACCAUUCCAUCAAAAUUGUGUGAUUGGUUCACCAAGGUGUAAUAAAGGGAAAAAUAUUCCAGAUGAAAUCCCACGCUGAAAAAAGAAUACCUGUCACUUUAGGCUGUCCUUUGCCAUCUCUCUUAGAAAUUUGGACCUAGUGAAUGGAAAUUAAAGAAUGAGGAAUCUUAAGACCACCUAAUUAUAGUCUUACCUAU
Acinonyx jubatus (cheetah) is the source of this 647-nucleotide long non-coding RNA. RefSeq lists it as uncharacterized. Lineage: Eukaryota; Metazoa; Chordata; Mammalia; Carnivora; Felidae. The record is from RefSeq and is a predicted model, not a curated record. The transcript has 3 exons.